AGUGAACGCUGGCGGCAGGCCUAACACAUGCAAGUCGAACGGCAGCACGGUACUUGCUUCUUCUUUCGGGGGCCGACGGGUGGGUGAGGCCUGGAAAUCUCCGAAUUUGCUGUGUCUAACGUGCUGACACAGGCGCUCAUACGCUAUACCUGCUUACGACCUACGUGUGAAAGCUUCGGAUCUUACGCUCUUAGACGAUUCUAUGUGGCAAGGUCGGAUUAGCUAGUUGGCGGGGUAAAGGCCCACCAAGGCGACGAUCCGUAGCUGGUCUGAGAGGAUGAUCAGUCACACUGGAACUGAGACACGGUCCAGACUCCUACGGGAGGCAGCAGUGGGGAAUAUUGGACAAUGGGCGCAAGCCUGAUCCAGCCAUGCCGCGUGUGUGAAGAAGGUCUUCGGAUUGUAAAGCACUUUUAGUUGGAAAGAAAAGCAGUAGGUUAAUACCCUGCUGUUCUGACGUUACCAAAAGAAUAAGCACCGGCUAACUUCGUG
RNAcentral lists this ribosomal RNA (492 nucleotides) under uncultured bacterium. RNAcentral's name for it is "partial 16S ribosomal RNA". It matches the Rfam family "Bacterial small subunit ribosomal RNA", at positions 29 to 507 of the family's 1533-position model. The record is from RNAcentral.